CCUGGCUCAGGAUGAACGCUAGCUACAGGCUUAACACAUGCAAGUCGAGGGGAAACGACAUCGAAAGCUUGCUUUUGAUGGGCGUCGACCGGCGCACGGGUGAGUAACGCGUAUCCAACCUGCCCAUCACUUGGGGAUAACCUUGCGAAAGUAAGACUAAUACCCAAUGAUAUCUCUAGAAGACAUCUGAAAGAGAUUAAAGAUUUAUCGGUGAUGGAUGGGGAUGCGUCUGAUUAGCUUGUUGGCGGGGUAACGGCUCACCAAGGCGACGAUCAGUAGGGGUUCUGAGAGGAAGGUCCCCCACAUUGGAACUGAGACACGGUCCAAACUCCUACGGGAGGCAGCAGUGAGGAAUAUUGGUCAAUGGACGAGAGUCUGAACCAGCCAAGUAGCGUGCAGGAUGACGGCCCUAUGGGUUGUAAACUGCUUUUAUAAGGGAAUAAAGUGAGUCUCGUGAGACUUUUUGCAUGUACCUUAUGAAUAAGGACCGGCUAAUUCCGUGCCAGCAGCCGCGGUAAUACGGAAGGUCCGGGCGUUAUCCGGAUUUAUUGGGUUUAAAGGGAGCGUAGGCCGGAGAUUAAGCGUGUUGUGAAACGUAGACGCUCAACGUCUGCACUGCAGCGCGAACUGUUUUCCUUGAGUACGCACAAAGUGGGCGGAAUUCGUGGUGUAGCGGUGAAAUGCUUAGAUAUCACGAAGAACUCCGAUUGCGAAGGCAGCUCACUGGAGCGCAACUGACGCUGAAGCUCGAAAGUGCGGGUAUCGAACAGGAUUAGAUACCCUGGUAGUCCGCACGGUAAACGAUGGAUGCCCGCUGUUGGUCUGAAUAGGUCAGCGGCC
This 840-nucleotide ribosomal RNA is filed under the name uncultured bacterium. RNAcentral describes it as "bacterial SSU rRNA". It matches the Rfam family "Bacterial small subunit ribosomal RNA", at positions 18 to 848 of the family's 1533-position model. The record is from RNAcentral.